This 239-nucleotide ribosomal RNA is filed under the name uncultured bacterium. RNAcentral's name for it is "partial 16S ribosomal RNA". It matches the Rfam family "Bacterial small subunit ribosomal RNA", at positions 92 to 334 of the family's 1533-position model. The record is from RNAcentral.
CGAGUGGCGGACGGGUGAGUAAUGUCUGGGAAACUGCCCGAUGGAGGGGGAUAACUACUGGAAACGGUAGCUAAUACCGCAUAACGUCGCAAGACCAAAGAGGGGGACCUUCGGGCCUCUUGCCAUCGGAUGUGCCCAGAUGGGAUUAGCUAGUAGGUGGGGUAAAGGCUCACCUAGGCGACGAUCCCUAGCUGGUCUGAGAGGAUGACCAGCCACACUGGAACUGAGACACGGUCCAG